AUUGAACGCUGGCGGCAUGCCUUACACAUGCAAGUCGAACGGCAGCACGGGUGCUUGCACCUGGUGGCGAGUGGCGAACGGGUGAGUAUACAUCGGAACGUACCUUAUCGUGGGGGAUAACGCAGCGAAAGUUGCGCUAAUACCGCAUACGCCCUGAGGGGGAAAGCGGGGGACCGUAAGGCCUCGCGCGAUUAGAGCGGCCGAUGUCUGAUUAGCUUGUUGGUGAGGUAAAAGCUCACCAAGGCGAUGAUCAGUAGCUGGUCUGAGAGGACGAUCAGCCACACUGGGACUGAGACACGGCCCAGACUCCUACGAGAGGCAGCAGUGGGGAAUUUUGGACAAUGGGGGCAACCCUGAUCCAGCAAUGCCGCGUGAGUGAAGAAGGCCUUCGGGUUGUAAAGCUCUUUUGUCAGGGAAGAAACAGCAGCUCUAACACAGUCUGCGAAUGAUGGUACCUGAAGAAUAAGCACCGGCUAACUACGUGCCAGCCGCCGCCGUAA
This 500-nucleotide ribosomal RNA is filed under the name uncultured bacterium. RNAcentral describes it as "partial 16S ribosomal RNA". It matches the Rfam family "Bacterial small subunit ribosomal RNA", at positions 30 to 523 of the family's 1533-position model. The record is from RNAcentral.